RNAcentral lists this unclassified non-coding RNA (352 nucleotides) under soil metagenome. Its description in RNAcentral is "partial contains 5.8S ribosomal RNA, internal transcribed spacer 2, and large subunit ribosomal RNA". The stretch from base 1 to 120 matches the Rfam family "5.8S ribosomal RNA", at positions 35 to 154 of the family's 154-position model. The record is from RNAcentral.
GAUGAAGAACGCAGCGAAAUGCGAUAAGUAAUGUGAAUUGCAGAAUUCAGUGAAUCAUCGAAUCUUUGAACGCACAUUGCGCCCGCCAGUAUUCUGGCGGGCAUGCCUGUUCGAGCGUCAUUACAACCCUCAGGCCUCCGGGCCUGGCGUUGGGGAUCGGCGGAAGCCCCCUGUGGGCACACGCCGUCCCUCAAAUACAGUGGCGGUCCCGCCGCAGCUUCCAUUGCGUAGUAGCUAACACCUCGCAACUGGAGAGCGGCGCGGCCAUGCCGUAAAACACCCAACUUCUGAAUGUUGACCUCGAAUCAGGUAGGAAUACCCGCUGAACUUAAGCAUAUCAAUAAGCGGAGGA